Molecule: long non-coding RNA, 6930 nt
Filed under: Daucus carota (carrot)
Lineage: Eukaryota; Viridiplantae; Streptophyta; Magnoliopsida; Apiales; Apiaceae
Description: long non-coding RNA (DCAR_LNC006588)
Source: RNAcentral
AUGAUUAAUAGCUGUCAGUAUGGAUGUUUUGCAGGAUAUAAUAGUUGCUGGAACUGGGACAACGGCAACUGUGCUCACAUGGGCGAUGACAGCAUUAAUGCGCAACCCGGGAGUGAUGAAGAAAGUUCAAGAAGAAAUAAGAAGAGUAAUGGGAAAGAAAGGGAAGAUAGACGAAGAUGACAUUCAGAAUCUCCCUUACUUGAGAGCCGUUGUGAAGGAGACGAUGCGCUUAUACCCUCCUGGUCCACUUCUACUUCCCCGAGAAACGAUGGGAAGCUCUGUCAUCGGCGAAGAUGAAGCUCAUAUGUACAAGAUCAAGCCCAAAACCCUGGUGUUUGUAAGCAUGUGGGCAAUUGGAAGAGACCCGGAGGAUUGGAAAGAGCCCUUCGAGUUUAAACCCGAAAGGUUCUUGGAAAGGCUUGACAUCGAUUACAAAGGACAGCAUUUCGAGUACGUUCCAUUCGGUGCUGGGAGAAGACAAUGCCCUGGACUCAACCUGGGAGCGAGGAAUGUGGAGCUUGCACUUGCUAAUGUUCUUUACGCAUUCGACUGGGAGCUGCCUGAUGGGAUGACAAUCCUAGACGUCGACGAGGAGACUGUGAAUGGCUUAACUUUGCAGAGGAAAAAUGUUCUCUACAUUCGACCUAAAAUAUACGUCUGUCCAUGAUUCAUCUCGUAUCAAGAUUUCAUGUGCCAACUUAAUUUAUGAAAUAAUAGCUGUAAGAUGAUCCUGCAGCUUUUCUGUGUAAUAAGUGGAACUUAAUUAUCAAUAACAGAGCUUCCCCACUUGGAUGCUGAAUUAGGAAGUUCAAGCUAUUGUUUCUUGGCUAAUGUCAAUGAAUACAAUGCAUUAUUUAUAUCCAUUUCCCAAAAGGAAAUAUUAUAUCGAGAACCCAAAAGGAAAUAUUAUAUCGAGAACAAAUUUUCAUAUCCAGAGCUGAAAAAGUAUGAAAAGACGAAAUUAUUCCUUACAUUUUUUUUUUCUUUUUGUUGUAAUUGUGUAUGCACGAGGUCAGUUUUGUCUUUUCAUAUUUGUUUGCUCUCGAUAUAAAAACUUUGCUCUCGGUAUAGUAUUUCCCUUCCCGAAAUUAGUUAUUUUAUCAUUUUAUUCUCCUUGUUUAUCCAAUUCAAAUUUAAUACAAGUUUCAAUGUUACUACCUGUUAGGGUUAUACUAAAAUAUUCGUUUGAAGUAUAUAACAAUUAUUUGAGAAUCUUGAAUGCAUGUUUUCACAUUGUCUGUAUAUUAUAUAUUGUAGACAAUCUAGUAUCAAAUGGGAUAGCAGAAGAUUAGAUUGUCAGACUCCUUAUAUAAUAUAAUAAAGGUUCACAGUCGAGGUGGUGUUAGACAAACCACUGGAACGGCUGAAGUAUUAUUUGGAAAUAGUUUAUCUUGACUAUUGAAUAAUACUUAUAUACUUUGUGUAUAUUGAACGGGAUCAAAAUAGUAGAAUAAUUGUUUCUUUAAUUCUGACAAUAAAGAACUAAGAUUCUAUGAUGUUAUUAAUGCUUAAGUUCUUAAUCCGGAUAUAGUGAUUGACACUUGUAUUUAAUGCACAUGCCUUGACUCAUAAAUUAAGUAAUUUAUUUUAAAUUACGAAUUUAUGUAUUGGGCAAUGACAUUAUAUACAGAGUGGGAUAUUGACUAUAGAAGGAAACCGUGUCCGAAAAAUAUAUUCGGGUGAUGAUGUCCUCUUGAAAGCUCAUAAAGAUAAUUAUGCUUUAGUCCUGCAGGCAGAUUUGUUCUUGCAUAAUUAUAAGGUUGAGUGGAUGAUCAAGGAUAAAAGAUAUUGAUUAAAUUAAUUGUCAGAAAUUAAUUUAAUUAAUGGACAUGCGAUAUCUUAAACAUGGGGAAUUUAUAAGCAAUUAAUAUGGGAGCCGAAUUAAAUAAUUAAUUUACGGAAUUAGGAAAGGUAGUGCAAAUAUUAGUUCUUUAGUGGAUAGAAUUAAUAUUUAAUGACAUUGGGCCUGGCCCGGAAUGUCAUUGGAAGGCCUGACCUAAUGAUCCAUGAUCCCUGCUGUAGCCUAUAUAUAUUCUCGUUCUCCUAAAGCUGAAAGACACACCAAAACGAAUUAAUCCUAGAGUCAGAGAGAGGCAGACGUUUUUCUCAAGGAGACAGCUAGGGUUUUGGGUUUUCGGAGCUUUAAGGAGAGGCACACCUUGGGAGAUCGAAGGCCACACUUCGUCCAAGGAGAAUCAAGGAAUACAGUAGAAGACGUGGAUUUGAAUCGCUUGCGCCGUAGCGAUUAAGGUUAAUAUUCUGUUCGAACUUUUAAUUAGUAUCAUAAAACGCAGGACCAAGGUCCGAUUGUUCCUACAAUGGCAUCAGAGCCAGGUUGCGGUUCUGCGAUUUAUGAUAUGUAGUCCAUGUCAUGAUUAUAUAUGCAUGUAUAUAGUGAUUCUGUGAUGCAGGUCGUUGUCCACUAUUAUGGCCGUGUUUUAAUUAUUCUGUUAUGUUUGGAUUCCACGUGGUUUAUCGUGGCUGUUGUAAAUCACGAGGGUUGAUCGUGAUAGUUUAAUCUUGUAAUUCAAUUUGUAAUUGUUUUAGAUUAUGAUCUGAUGUAAUAGAAUAGGCUGGUUCGUCUGUACAAUUUGUAUGUAAUUGUUUGAUCAACGGGGCUGCAAGAAACAGAGAUCUUCCGCUGCUGCGAUCUGUUGCCGCUGCUAUUUAGGGUAACUUUUGCAUACGAUGUCCGAUUUGGGCGCAUAAUACCUUUUCGGGGACGGCAGAACUAGACGGACAGGCUCCAAAUUGACGUAGUCCAUUUGGUGCAGUUUUUCAGGGCGUUCUGAGGCUGUUUAGGCCUCCAAACGGGCUCUCGAAGAUUUUCGGAAUUUUUCGAAGGAUGAUUUCGAAGCUGUUUUUCCGGGGCCAUAAUAGUGGAUGUGUUUCAUUAUGUUUUACAUAAUUUCUGCCUUUUCUUGAUUAUUGCUACUAUGUGUUUCUUGUCUGUGUUGUUAUGCCAUGUGAUACUAACCCUUCGCAUGCUAGAAUGACAUGGACAUAGGGAUGUUUUUAAUUAAUGCUUUAAUCAUGCUAGUAUGCUGCCAUGUUAUGUGUUCUUUAUGUGUUCUUUAUGUUGCUAUAACCAUGAUAGUAUGCAUGUGGACUUCGAAGAAAUAACAUAGGGCGAUGCAUCUAGAUUAAAAUCCUCAAAGUAAAUUCUAAGUGGGAGAGGGAGUUAAUAUGGUAUUAAAUCCCAUGGUCUCCAUCAUUGUUUGUAUGUAAUUUAACAUAAAGGCGAAUAUAAAUUAUGUAUACGUCACCCAUCGUGGCAUGUAAUUUAUGGUGUCUAGAAUGUUAUAGAUAUUACUGGAACAAACUUCUUAAAUUAAUACGAAUAGAUACGAAUUUUCUUUAUCUCUGAUUUGGGGCGAUUUCUAAGGCUUAUGGGUAUUAAGUGAGACCGAUGUGACUCCUCCACUGCCUAGAAGUCAAACCAGACACGAAUAUUGAAUUGAAGUAUUCUAUUCGAGAAAUAUUGGAAGGUAUACAUGCCGCCCAUCGUGGCGUACCAAGUUCCAUAGGUUUCGGGUAAUUUAAGAUUUGAUGAUGGUAUACACUUAGCUAUGAAAAAUAAUAUAGACCACCCCAACGUGGCUUAUUGUUUAGUAAUAGGACCGAAGUAACGUUUAAACAAAUUUAGGUGGUAUACAUGUCACCCAUCGUGACGUACCAGAAACUUAUGGUGUUUAAACGUUAGUGCAUUUAAUUUUAAUAAUUGUUAGAGGAACCAAUAGGACUUAAUUUUUUAUGCACCCUUCUUUAUGUGUAAUGUGAUUUUUUCAUGCAUGAUUCUCAGGAUAUAAUGGGGUUUAAUCCACUGUUCACCAUACUUAAGGAUAACAAACUUACCGGACCUAACUAUAUUGAAUGGAAACGUAAUUUGGACAUUGUGUUGACUGCUGAGGAGUACAAGUUUUGCACUUAUGAACCCAAGCCUGAGCAGCCCGCUGCUGAUGCUCCUGAUGAGGAGAAAGAGUAUUAUAAGCGGUGGACAAAGGCUGAUGAGAUGUCGCGAUGUUACAUUCUGGCAGCAAUGUCGGGUGUUUUGCAGCAUCAGCAUCAGGCUAUGGCCACUGCUUCGGAUAUGCUCUUUAAUCUCAAGGAACUUUUUGGAGAUCAGAAUAGGGCUGCUAGGCAAGUAGCCAUGAAGGCUUUAAUGAACACUCAGAUGGCUGAAGGUACACCUGUAAGGGAUCAUGUUCUCAAGAUGAUGUCACAUCUGAAUGAGAUAGAGAUCCUUGGUGCAGAGCUUGACGGGGAAACCCAGAUUGACAUUAUCCUUAUGAGCUUGCCCAAGAGUUUUGAGCAGUUCCGCUUGAAUUACAACAUGAACAAGAGGCAGUAUAGUCUUGCGGAACUGCUGACAGAACUUCAGGCAGCUGAAGGAUUAUUUCGCCAGAGUGUUCAAGUGAAUGUGGCUGAGAAAGGUUCUUCCUCUAAGCCGAAAGGCAAUAAGAAGAAGAAAAAGGCUCAGACACAGAAAGCUGUGAAGGCAGUGGGAGUUCAAGGUGGUGUGAAAAAGCCUAAGGGGAAGUGCUACCGGUGCAAGCAGUCGGGUCACUGGAAAAAGGAUUGUCCUCUUCCUAAGAAGACAAACGAUACUGGUAUGUCUCUUUCUCUAGUUACAGAAACAUUUGUAGCGGCUAUAUCUACGAGCACUUGGUGUGUAGAUACUGGAGCCACUGAUCAUGUUUGUAACUCUAUGCAGGGGUUCCAGCAAUCCAGAAUGCUUAGAGAUGGUGAGAUCUACGUGUUCAUGGGAGAUGCUACGAAAGUAGCAGUAGUUGCAGUAGGAGUUAUUCAUUUAUCUUUUGGUUCUGAUAGGAUUUUGGUUUUGAACAAUUGUCUUUAUGUACCUUCUUUUAGAAGGAAUUUGAUUUCGGUUUCUAAACUUGCUAUGGAUGGUUAUAAUGUUUGUUUGGAUCGUAAUGUUUCUAUUAUGAUGAAUAAACGGAUUAUAUGUUCUGGUACAUUGCAAGACAAUUUGUAUAUAAUUAAUCCUAGUCAACCCGCACUGCAACUACAACAUAGGGUAUUGAACAACACAUCUUCUACCUCUAAUAAAAGAAAGGAACCUUCUAGUUUGAACCAAACAUAUCUUUGGCACUUGAGAUUAGGUCAUAUUAACUUGAGGAGGAUUCAAAGACUGGUAGUAGACGGGCCUUUAGGCUCAUUGGCAGUGGAGCCAUUUCCAGUUUGUGAAUCCUGCUUGGAAGGUAAAAUGACCAAUAGGCCUUUUAAGGCAAAGGGGAAUAGAGCCAAAGAAGUGUUAGGAUUGGUUCACUCUGAUUUAUGUGGACCUAUGAAUAUCCAAGCAAGAGGUGGUUAUGAGUAUUUCGUCACUUUUAUUGACGAUUAUUCUAGAUAUGGAUACGUUUAUUUGUUGCGCCGUAAGUCUGAGUGCUUUGAGAAAUUCAAAGAGUACAAAGCUAAAACGGAGAAGCGACAUAAUAAAAGUAUCAAGUCACUACGAUAUGAUCGUGGUGGCGAAUACUUGCUUGGGGAAUUCAGGGAAUAUUUAUCCGAGAAUGGGAUAGAAUCCCAGUUGACUGCACCAGGCACACCCCAGCAGAACGGUGUAGCAGAGAGAAGGAACCGGACUCUUUUAGAGAGUGUUAGAUCGAUGAUGAGUUAUUCGGAUUUACCCAAGUCCUUUUGGGGACAUGCCUUAGAGACAGCAGCUUAUCUUCUGAACUUAGUACCUUCUAAGUCGGUUCCUAAAACCCCUUUAGAAUUGUGGACCGGGGACAAACCGAGUCUGAGACACAUUCGGAUAUGGGGUUGUCCAGCACAUGUGCUGAACAAGAACGCGACUAAGCUAGAAUCUCGUACAGAAGUAAAGCUGUUUGUAGGCUACCCCAUGGGAACAAAAGGUUAUUUAUUUUAUAGUCCUAAGAACAAUGUUAAGAUGUUGUCUUCAAUAAGGUCAUGGUUGUUCAAACAAUUUGAAAUGAAGGACUUAGGUGAAGCAGCAUACAUCCUUGGGAUCAAACUUAUAAGGGAUCGCAAGAAAAGGAUGUUGGCUUUAUCUCAGGAGCCCUACAUAGAUGACGUAUUAGCUCGUUUUAACAUGCAGGACUCCAAGAAGGGUAAUUUACCCUUCAGACAUGGAGUUACUCUAUCAAAGAGGCAGUGUCCUUCGACACCUAAGGAGAUAGAGAACAUGAAGGCAGUUCCUUAUGCUUCGGCAUGUGGGAGCCUAAUGUAUGCAAUGUUAUGUACGAGGCCUGAUAUCUGUUUUGCCGUGGGCAUGGUUAGCAGAUACCAGUUGAACCCAGGACAAGAACAUUGGAGUGCUGUAAAAGCAAUACUCAAGUACCUGCGAAGGGCUAAGGAGUAUAUGCUGGUUUACAAGUCCUCUGAUUUAUUGCCUCCGGGAUAUACCGAUUCGGAUUUCCAGACGGAUAAGGAUAAGAGAAAGUCCACCUCGGGAUGUGUUUUUACUUUGGGAGGUGGAGCCGUAAUAUGGAGGAGUGUGAAGCAGAAAUGCAUCGCGGACUCAACCAUGGAAGCCGAAUAUGUGGCAGCCUCGGAGGCAGCCAAAGAGGCUAUAUGGUUCCGAAACUUCCUGCUGGAUUUGGGUGUGGUUCCUAAUUUGCCACAGCAAAUCACGAUUUAUUGUGAUAACACUGGUGCUGUGGCGAAUACCAAGGAACCGCGGGCCCAUAAGGCAGCGAAACACAUAGAGCAGAGGAGACUGUGAAUGGCUUAACUUUGCAGAGGAAAAAUGUUCUCUACAUUCGACCUAAAAUAUACGUCUGUCCAUGAUUCAUCUCGUAUCAAGAUUUCAUGUGCCAACUUAAUUUAUGAAAUAAUAGCUGUAAGAUGAUCCUGCAGCUUUUCUGUGUAAUAAGUGGAACUUAAUUAUCAAUAACAGAGCUUCCCCACUUGGAUGCUGAAUUAGGAAGUUCAAGCUAUUGUUUC